GGUUAAGCGACUAAGCGUACACGGUGGAUGCCCUGGCAGUCAGAGGCGAUGAAGGGCGUGCUAAUCUGCGAUAAGCGCCGGUAAGGUGAUAUGAACCGUUAUAACCGGCGAUACCCGAAUGGGGAAACCCAGUGUGAUUCGUCACACUAUCAUUAACUGAAUCCAUAGGUUAAUGAGGCGAACCGGGGGAACUGAAACAUCUAAGUACCCCGAGGAAAAGAAAUCAACCGAGAUUCCCCCCAGUAGCGGCGAGCGAACGGGGAGGAGCCCAGAGCCUGAAUCAGCAUGUGUGUUAGUGGAAGCGUCUGGAAAGGCGCGCGAUACAGGGUGACAGCCCCGUACACAAAAAGCGCAUGUGCUGUGAGCUCGAUGAGUAGGGCGGGACACGUGGUAUCCUGUCUGAAUAUGGGGGAAAUUCAUCCUCCAAGGCUAAAUACUCCUGACUGACCGAUAGUGAACCAGUACCGUGAGGGAAAGGCGAAAAGAACCCCGGCGAGGGGAGUGAAAAAGAACCUGAAACCGUGUACGUACAAGCAGUGGGAGCCCCACCACCAAAGCAUUCUCUGGUGUUGAAGGCCCUGCAAAGCAGCAUCGCGGUGGCGGAGCGUCGUUUGCGACGCCCAACACACAAAAACAAGCGGUGAGUGCUUUGGGGUGGGGUGACUGCGUACCUUUUGUAUAAUGGGUCAGCGACUUAUAUUCUGUAGCAAGGUUAACCGAAUAGGGGAGCCGGAGGGAAACCGAGUCUUAAUUGGGCGUUAAGUUGCAGGGUAUAGACCCGAAACCCGGUGAUCUAGCCAUGGGCAGGUUGAAGGUUGGGUAACACUAACUGGAGGACCGAACCGACUAAUGUUGAAAAAUUAGCGGAUGACCUGUGGCUGGGGGUGAAAGGCCAAUCAAACCGGGAGAUAGCUGGUUCUCCCCGAAAGCUAUUUAGGUAGCGCCUCGUGAAUUCAUCUCCGGGGGUAGAGCACUGUUUCGGCUAGGGGGCCAUCCCGGCUUACCAACCCGAUGCAAACUGCGAAUACCGGAGAAUGUUAUCACGGGAGACACACGGCGGGUGCUAACGUCCGUCGUGAAGAGGGAAACAACCCAGACCGCCAGCUAAGGUCCCAAAGUCAUGGUUAAGUGGGAAACGAUGUGGGAAGGCCCAGACAGCCAGGAUGUUGGCUUAGAAGCAGCCAUCAUUUAAAAGAAAGCGUAAUAGCUCACUGGUCGAGUCGGCCUGCGCGGAAGAUGUAACGGGGCUAAACCAUGCACCGAAGCUGCGGCAGCGACACUCAGGUGUUGUUGGGUAGGGGAGCGUUCUGUAAGCCUGCGAAGGUGGCCUGUGAGGGUUGCUGGAGGUAUCAGAAGUGCGAAUGCUGACAUAAGUAACGAUAAAGCGGGUGAAAAGCCCGCUCGCCGGAAGACCAAGGGUUCCUGUCCAACGUUAAUCGGGGCAGGGUGAGUCGACCCCUAAGGCGAGGCCGAAAGGCGUAGUCGAUGGGAAACGGGUUAAUAUUCCCGUACUUGGUGUUACUGCGAAGGGGGGACGGAGAAGGCUAUGUUGGCCGGGCGACGGUUGUCCCGGUUUAAGCGUGUAGGUGUGUGUUCCAGGUAAAUCCGGUUCACUUUAACACUGAGGCGUGAUGACGAGGCACUACGGUGCUGAAGCAACAAAUGCCCUGCUUCCAGGAAAAGCCUCUAAGCAUCAGGUAACAUCAAAUCGUACCCCAAACCGACACAGGUGGUCAGGUAGAGAAUACCAAGGCGCUUGAGAGAACUCGGGUGAAGGAACUAGGCAAAAUGGUGCCGUAACUUCGGGAGAAGGCACGCUGACACGUAGGUGAAGUGAUUUACUCAUGGAGCUGAAGUCAGUCGAAGAUACCAGCUGGCUGCAACUGUUUAUUAAAAACACAGCACUGUGCAAACACGAAAGUGGACGUAUACGGUGUGACGCCUGCCCGGUGCCGGAAGGUUAAUUGAUGGGGUCAGCGCAAGCGAAGCUCCUGAUCGAAGCCCCGGUAAACGGCGGCCGUAACUAUAACGGUCCUAAGGUAGCGAAAUUCCUUGUCGGGUAAGUUCCGACCUGCACGAAUGGCGUAAUGAUGGCCAGGCUGUCUCCACCCGAGACUCAGUGAAAUUGAACUCGCUGUGAAGAUGCAGUGUACCCGCGGCAAGACGGAAAGACCCCGUGAACCUUUACUAUAGCUUGACACUGAACAUUGAGCCUUGAUGUGUAGGAUAGGUGGGAGGCUUUGAAGUGUGGACGCCAGUCUGCAUGGAGCCGACCUUGAAAUACCACCCUUUAAUGUUUGAUGUUCUAACGUGGACCCGUAAUCCGGGUUGCGGACAGUGUCUGGUGGGUAGUUUGACUGGGGCGGUCUCCUCCUAAAGAGUAACGGAGGAGCACGAAGGUUGGCUAAUCCUGGUCGGACAUCAGGAGGUUAGUGCAAUGGCAUAAGCCAGCUUGACUGCGAGCGUGACGGCGCGAGCAGGUGCGAAAGCAGGUCAUAGUGAUCCGGUGGUUCUGAAUGGAAGGGCCAUCGCUCAACGGAUAAAAGGUACUCCGGGGAUAACAGGCUGAUACCGCCCAAGAGUUCAUAUCGACGGCGGUGUUUGGCACCUCGAUGUCGGCUCAUCACAUCCUGGGGCUGAAGUAGGUCCCAAGGGUAUGGCUGUUCGCCAUUUAAAGUGGUACGCGAGCUGGGUUUAGAACGUCGUGAGACAGUUCGGUCCCUAUCUGCCGUGGGCGCUGGAGAACUGAGGGGGGCUGCUCCUAGUACGAGAGGACCGGAGUGGACGCAUCACUGGUGUUCGGGUUGUCAUGCCAAUGGCACUGCCCGGUAGCUAAAUGCGGAAGAGAUAAGUGCUGAAAGCAUCUAAGCACGAAACUUGCCCCGAGAUGAGUUCUCCCUGAGACUUUAAGUCUCCUGAAGGAACGUUGAAGACGACGACGUUGAUAGGCCGGGUGUGUAAGCGCAGCGAUGCGUUGAGCUAACCGGUACUAAUGAACCGUGAGGCUUAACCUU
This 3014-nucleotide ribosomal RNA is filed under the name Salmonella enterica subsp. enterica serovar Infantis. RNAcentral describes it as "23S ribosomal RNA". It matches the Rfam family "Bacterial large subunit ribosomal RNA". Lineage: Bacteria; Pseudomonadati; Pseudomonadota; Gammaproteobacteria; Enterobacterales; Enterobacteriaceae. The record is from RNAcentral.